Molecule: non-coding RNA, 129 nt
Organism: Pantoea sp.
Lineage: Bacteria; Pseudomonadati; Pseudomonadota; Gammaproteobacteria; Enterobacterales; Erwiniaceae
Source: Rfam
CCCGAAACUUCGGGGAGAAGGAUGAGAAGCUUCGACCGAAGGUUCGGGUCGAGCGCAGCGAGACAACGCGCGCAAGCGCGUCCCGAAGGGUGAGGCGCAACGCGCCGAAUAAUCCUUCUCCCACCACCA